Molecule: long non-coding RNA, 1481 nt
Organism: Hibiscus syriacus
Lineage: Eukaryota; Viridiplantae; Streptophyta; Magnoliopsida; Malvales; Malvaceae
Exons: 2
Source: RefSeq, a predicted model, not a curated record
UCCUCAUCCGUUCGACUACGUGCCUUUGUUUCUGAAUUCCAAAAAAAGAAAAAAGGAAUUUGUUGCUGGAUUUUUUUUGGCAUGCUUUUUUACUGUAGAAACCCACUAAUUCUCAUGCAUGGCAUAGGUCUCUUUAAAAAGCCACAACCUACAAAACCUUUUUAGCUUUGUUUUCUACUUCGCUUUUGCCUUUACCUUUUUCUGUCUCCCCCUUCUGCAAAUUGGUGGCUAUUAUUGCAGAAUUGAAUGAAACUGAUGAUUAAAGCAAGGGUUUGGCCAGUGUGUCAAGAAUGAUAGCCUAGCGCCCAACAACAUGAAGUAAAAGUUCAAAACUAGAGACAAUCAAGGAGAGAAGCAGAGUCUUAAGCUUUAUUUCAUCAUUCCGUUUGCCUCAAAACGCAUAUAGAUACAGUUCUUUGGUAAGAGCUGUUGUUUCGUGCCUGGUAAUGAUCAUAUGCUGUUGCAUGGAAGCAUUUCAAUUUUCCAGGCGAGUCUUCACUUUCCGUAUCUCUCACCCUUUCGGUUUCAUGUUCUUUGUUAGAGUUCUAAGCCUUUGCUGGUUAGUUGAGUAGUUGUUCCACGUGCCAAGGUGGUUAAGUUGUUGUAACUGAAGAGCAGUUGUUAGCUUCUCCUUCUGUAGGUCUUUAUAUAGCUUUGCUCUUUGUAUGAGAAGUUACGUGAAUGGUAAUACAAAACCAGAUUGCUUUUUCAUUCUUAACAUUCGUCGACCUUUGUUUUCUGGGAUUCAGCAGUGACCAGCAACAAGCAAGCUUCAAUGGCUGAUCACAAUCUCGAUUGUUUCCUUCUGAUAACCACUUUUGUUUUUACUCAAACCAACCCAGAUCCCCCAAAAGAUUAAUAUCAACCGAAUCAAAAGGUAUCGAUCUUGCCAUAGUCGAUACUCUCGGUGAUAAGCCAGUCGAAAACAAUGGCUCUUUCGAGACAAGCAACAAUAAGGUCUUGUUUGGGACGUCCAAGCUCAAAGUUUCUCCAAAUCCUUUCCACAGGGGUGUCUUCUCAUUUAAGAAAUGGAGCAGUCUGAGGAUUAUACAUGCGUGAAAUCAUACGGACCUAACCCGAAAACAACUCAUAUAUACGAUAACCGCGUUGUAAAGAGCUGCUGCAGUACAUUAGAUGAGCCUGAAUGUGCACCAAAGAGUGAUUAUUUUCUCAGCUUUUGCCACACAUGCAAGAAGAAUCUUGAACAGAAGACAGAAGAUUGACAUUUACAUUUACAGGGGAGAGCUUUGGGAGUGCCAAUAUCAGGAGAUGAUCCUCCAUGGAGAGGAGAAUUAAGAACAAUUUCAUUUCAUCAAUGAUUUGCAUAAAUUAACUUUAUUUUUGGUUUGUGGGUGUAAAGGUUGUAAGUUAUAUUAUCUUUGUAGAUGAACGCUUAAAGUAUAAAGCGAUUAAAAUAAUAGCAGUAGGAGGGAAAGUUUGAUACUUUGUGCAGAGUUAUCAACAAAGAGGAAGCUUUUUCA